GAUGAUAUUGAGAUAGAUGAAUCAAUUCUGCCCACGGUAACUACAUUGCAGGAAGUGAAAAAUAUAAACAGAGGUAAAUUUGAAUUUUCCAUAUUUAAUAUGUUCUUUUACUCGUUAAUUGUCUUUAACAAUAUUGUUAUUGUACUGCAUAGAAGAUACAGAAAGGGAACAAUUAUUAGGCAAGGCUGGUGAUAUGAAACCCGGACUAAGGAUACUUGAGGAAAUUAUAGCUCAAUAUAGAAAA
Molecule: unclassified non-coding RNA, 244 nt
Filed under: Hevea brasiliensis (rubber tree)
Lineage: Eukaryota; Viridiplantae; Streptophyta; Magnoliopsida; Malpighiales; Euphorbiaceae
Source: RNAcentral